GCCAGGUGUGGCGGUGCACACCUGUAGUCUCAGCUACUCGGGAGGCUGAGGCAGGAGGAUCACUUGACCCUGGGAGGUCGAGGCUGCAGUGAGCUGAGACUGCACCACUGCACUCCAGCCUGGGUGACAGAGUGAGACCCUGUCUCAA
RNAcentral lists this non-coding RNA (148 nucleotides) under Nomascus leucogenys (northern white-cheeked gibbon). The record is from Rfam by way of RNAcentral. Lineage: Eukaryota; Metazoa; Chordata; Mammalia; Primates; Hylobatidae.